AGUGAACGCUGGCGGUAGGCCUAACACAUGCAAGUCGAACGGCAGCACAGAGGAGCUUGCUCCUUGAGUGGCGAGUGGCGGACGGGUGAGGAAUACAUCGGAAUCUACUCUGUCGUGGGGGAUAACGUAGGGAAACUUACGCUAAUACCGCAUACGACCUACGGGUGAAAGCAGGGGAUCUUCGGACCUUGCGCGAUUGAAUGCGCCGAUGUCGGAUUAGCUCGUUGGCGGGGGAAAGGCCCACCAAGGCGACGAUGCGUAGCUGGUCUGAGAGGAUGAUCAGCCACACUGGAACUGAGACACGGGCCAGCCUCCUACGGGAGGCAGCAGUGGGGAAUAUUGUACAAUGGGCGCAAGGCUGAUCCAGCCAUACGGCGUGGGUGAAGAAGGCCUUCGGGUUGUAAAGCCCUUUUGUUGGGAAAGAAAUCCAUCUGGUUAAUACCCGGGUGGGAUGACGUUACCCAAAGAAUAAGCACCGGCUAACUUCGUGCCAGCAGCCGCCGUAA
Molecule: ribosomal RNA, 506 nt
Filed under: uncultured bacterium
Lineage: Bacteria
Description: partial 16S ribosomal RNA
Rfam family: Bacterial small subunit ribosomal RNA
Source: RNAcentral